This 427-nucleotide ribosomal RNA is filed under the name uncultured bacterium. Its description in RNAcentral is "bacterial SSU rRNA". It matches the Rfam family "Bacterial small subunit ribosomal RNA", at positions 355 to 774 of the family's 1533-position model. The record is from RNAcentral.
UCGGGAAUUUUGGGCAAUGGGCGAAAGCCUGACCCAGCAACGCCGCGUGAGUGAAGAAGGUUUUCGGAUCGUAAAACUCUGUUGUUAGAGAAGAACGUUGUGUAGAGUGGAAAAUUACACAAGUGACGGUAUCUAACCAGAAAGGGACGGCUAACUACGUGCCAGCAGCCGCGGUAAUACGUAGGUCCCGAGCGUUGUCCGGAUUUAUUGGGCGUAAAGCGAGCGCAGGUGGUUUAAUAAGUCUGAUGUAAAAGGCAGUGGCUCAACCAUUGUGUGCAUUGGAAACUGUUAGACUUGAGUGCAGUAGAGGAGAGUGGAAUUCCAUGUGUAGCGGUGAAAUGCGUAGAUAUAUGGAGGAACACCGGUGGCGAAAGCGGCUCUCUGGACUGUAACUGACACUGUGGCUCGAAAGCGUGGGUAGCAAACA